Molecule: ribosomal RNA, 230 nt
Filed under: uncultured bacterium
Lineage: Bacteria
Description: partial 16S ribosomal RNA
Rfam family: Bacterial small subunit ribosomal RNA
Source: RNAcentral
CGGGUGAGUAACGCGUGGGUAACCUGCCUUAUACAGGGGGAUAACAGCAGAAAUGACUGCUAAUACCGCAUAAGCGCACAGAACCGCAUGGUCCGGUGUGAAAAACUCCGGUGGUAUAAGAUGGACCCGCGUUGGAUUAGCUAGUUGGCAGGGCAGCGGCCUACCAAGGCGACGAUCCAUAGCCGGCCUGAGAGGGUGAACGGCCACAUUGGGACUGAGACACGGCCCAG